Molecule: ribosomal RNA, 1465 nt
Filed under: Synechococcus sp.
Lineage: Bacteria; Bacillati; Cyanobacteriota; Cyanophyceae; Synechococcales; Synechococcaceae
Also listed under: 6 other names
Description: bacterial SSU rRNA
Rfam family: Bacterial small subunit ribosomal RNA
Source: RNAcentral
AGAGUUUGAUCCUGGCUCAGGAUGAACGCUGGCGGCGUGCUUAACACAUGCAAGUCGAACGAACCUUCGGGUUAGUGGCGGACGGGUGAGUAACGCGUGGGAAUCUGCCCUCAGGAGGGGGAUAACGGUUGGAAACGGCCGCUAAUACCCCAUAUGCCGAGAGGUGAAAUGAAUUUCGCCUGAGGAUGAGCCCGCGUCUGAUUAGCUAGUUGGUGAGGUAAGAGCUCACCAAGGCAUCGAUCAGUAGCUGGUCUGAGAGGAUGAUCAGCCACACUGGGACUGAGACACGGCCCAGACUCCUACGGGAGGCAGCAGUGGGGAAUUUUCCGCAAUGGGCGAAAGCCUGACGGAGCAACGCCGCGUGAGGGAUGAAGGCCUCUGGGCUGUAAACCUCUUUUAUCAAGGAAGAAGAUCUGACGGUACUUGAUGAAUAAGCCACGGCUAAUUCCGUGCCAGCAGCCGCGGUAAUACGGGAGUGGCAAGCGUUAUCCGGAAUUAUUGGGCGUAAAGCGUCCGCAGGCGGCCCUACAAGUCUGCUGUUAAAAAGUGGAGCUUAACUCCAUCAUGGCAGUGGAAACUGUUGGGCUUGAGUGUGGUAGGGGCAGAGGGAAUUCCCGGUGUAGCGGUGAAAUGCGUAGAUAUCGGGAAGAACACCAGUGGCGAAGGCGCUCUGCUGGGCCAUCACUGACGCUCAUGGACGAAAGCCAGGGGAGCGAAAGGGAUUAGAUACCCCUGUAGUCCUGGCCGUAAACGAUGAACACUAGGUGUCGGGGGAAUCGACCCCUCCGGUGUCGUAGCCAACGCGUUAAGUGUUCCGCCUGGGGAGUACGCACGCAAGUGUGAAACUCAAAGGAAUUGACGGGGGCCCGCACAAGCGGUGGAGUAUGUGGUUUAAUUCGAUGCAACGCGAAGAACCUUACCAGGGUUUGACAUCCUGCGAAUCUCUUGGAAACUUGAGAGUGCCUUCGGGAGCGCAGUGACAGGUGGUGCAUGGCUGUCGUCAGCUCGUGUCGUGAGAUGUUGGGUUAAGUCCCGCAACGAGCGCAACCCACGUCUUUAGUUGCCAGCAUUUAGUUGGGCACUCUAGAGAGACCGCCGGUGAUAAACCGGAGGAAGGUGUGGAUGACGUCAAGUCAUCAUGCCCCUUACAUCCUGGGCUACACACGUACUACAAUGCUACGGACAAAGGGCAGCAAGUUCGCGAGGACAAGCAAAUCCCAUAAACCGUGGCUCAGUUCAGAUCGUAGGCUGCAACUCGCCUACGUGAAGGAGGAAUCGCUAGUAAUCGCAGGUCAGCAUACUGCGGUGAAUACGUUCCCGGGCCUUGUACACACCGCCCGUCACACCAUGGAAGUUGGCCACGCCCGAAGCCGUUACUCCAACCCUUGUGGAGGAGGACGUCGAAGGUGGGGCUGAUGACUGGGGUGAAGUCGUAACAAGGUAGCCGUACCGGAAGGUGCGGCUG